Molecule: ribosomal RNA, 633 nt
Filed under: Corynebacterium glutamicum
Lineage: Bacteria; Bacillati; Actinomycetota; Actinomycetes; Mycobacteriales; Corynebacteriaceae
Description: bacterial SSU rRNA
Rfam family: Bacterial small subunit ribosomal RNA
Source: RNAcentral
GAACGCUGAAACCAGAGCUUGCUUUGGUGGAUGAGUGGCGAACGGGUGAGUAACACGUGGGUGAUCUGCCCUACACUUUGGGAUAAGCCUGGGAAACUGGGUCUAAUACCGAAUAUUCACACCACCGUAGGGGUGGUGUGGAAAGCUUUAUGCGGUGUGGGAUGAGCCUGCGGCCUAUCAGCUUGUUGGUGGGGUAAUGGCCUACCAAGGCGUCGACGGGUAGCCGGCCUGAGAGGGUGUACGGCCACAUUGGGACUGAGACACGGCCCAGACUCCUACGGGAGGCAGCAGUGGGGAAUAUUGCACAAUGGGCGCAAGCCUGAUGCAGCGACGCCGCGUGGGGGAUGACGGCCUUCGGGUUGUAAACUCCUUUCGCUAGGGACGAAGCCUUAUGGUGACGGUACCUGGAGAAGAAGCACCGGCUAACUACGUGCCAGCAGCCGCGGUAAUACGUAGGGUGCGAGCGUUGUCCGGAAUUACUGGGCGUAAAGAGCUCGUAGGUGGUUUGUCGCGUCGUCUGUGAAAUCCCGGGGCUUAACUUCGGGCGUGCAGGCGAUACGGGCAUAACUUGAGUGCUGUAGGGGAGACUGGAAUUCCUGGUGUAGCGGUGAAAUGCGCAGAUAUCAGGAGGAA